ACGCGUUAAGUAUCCCGCCUGGGGAGUACGCUCGCAAGAGUGAAACUCAAAGGAUUUGACGGGGGCCCGCACAAUCGGUGGAGUAUGUGGUUUAAUUCGAUGCAACGCGAAGAACCUUACCAGGGCUUGACAUGUCCGGAACCUUGCCGAAAGGUGAGGGUGCCUACGGGAACCGGAGCACAGGUGGUGCAUGGCUGUCGUCAGCUCGUGUCGUGAGAUGUUGGGUUAAGUCCCGCAACGAGCGCAACCCACGUUCUUAGUUGCCAGCAUUCAGUUGGGCACUCUAGGGAGACUGCCGGUGACAAACCGGAGGAAGGUGUGGAUGACGUCAAGUCAGCAUGCCCCUUACGUCCUGGGCUACACACGUACUACAAUGCUGUGGACAAAGGGCAGCCAGCCGGCGACGGUGAGCUAAUCCCAUAAACCACGGCACAGUUCAGAUUGCAGGCUGCAACUCGCCUGCAUGAAGGAGGAAUCGCUAGUAAUCGCAGGUCAGCAUCCUCCGGUGAAUACGUUCCCGGGCAUUGUACACACCGCCCGUCACACCAUGGGAGUUGUUUUGCCCGAAGUCGUUACUCCAACAUGCGGGGGGGGACGCCG
RNAcentral lists this ribosomal RNA (600 nucleotides) under uncultured organism. Its description in RNAcentral is "bacterial SSU rRNA". It matches the Rfam family "Bacterial small subunit ribosomal RNA", at positions 855 to 1458 of the family's 1533-position model. The record is from RNAcentral.